This 425-nucleotide ribosomal RNA is filed under the name uncultured bacterium. RNAcentral's name for it is "partial 16S ribosomal RNA". It matches the Rfam family "Bacterial small subunit ribosomal RNA", at positions 354 to 796 of the family's 1533-position model. The record is from RNAcentral.
GUUAGGAAUAUUGGACAAUGGGCGAAAGCCUGAUCCAGCCAUGCCGCGUGAACGAUGAAGGCCUUCGGGUUGUAAAGUUCUUUAGCCGAUGAUUAUAAUGACUGUAGUCGGAAAAUAAGCCCCGGCUAACUUCGUGCCAGCAGCCGCGGUAAUACGAAGGGGGCGAGCGUUAUUCGGAAUCACUGGGCGUAAAGCGUGCGUAGGCGGCUUUGCAAGUUGGGAGUGAAAGCCCAGGGCUCAACCCUGGAAUUGCUCUCAAAACUGCAAGGCUCGAAUUCGGGAGAGGAUAGCGGAAUUGUCAGUGUAGCAGUGAAAUGCGUAGAUAUUGACAGGAACACCAGUGGCGUAAGCGGCUAUCUGGACCGAUAUUGACGCUGAGGCACGAAAGCGUGGGGAUCAAACAGGAUUAGAUACCCGUGUAGUCC